GUUCCAGUAGGAAUGGCUUGUUUCUCUUCUGGAGGCAGAGACCUGUGGCUGCCUGUUCACCGCUGUAGACGGAAGCCAGGGGUGCAGAGCAGUGCCUGACACAUAGCAGGUGCUCAAGGGAUGGGGUGUGAUGCUGACUCGGGGUGAAGGGAGGUCAGAGAUGCUGCCAAACGACCUGCAAUGCCGAGGACAGCCCGGACCACAGAGAAGGAUCCUGCCCAAGCUGCUAAUAGUUGAGAUCCAGGCCUGCAGGCCCACGUCCCCUGCGAAUCGGCUCGGGUCAUCCCGCUGUGCGCUGGCGCCACCUGGUGGCUGCAUGAGACACUGCAGCAGCCCUCAAAGGAGCCAAGACCAGAAAUGAUCCCUCCAGUAUUCUCCUAACCACAGCGAUAGCCCACCGGCUGGCGCAGGGCUCACUGUAUGGCAGGUCAAAGCGCCAUGUCUUAUUUGGGAUAAAUCCAAAUGCCACACCCAUACUCACAGGCCACGCAGAAUGGACCUGAAAUUGAACUGAUAUCUCGCACCCGCAACUCUCAGCCUGUUCCACCCUCCCAGAUGCCCUGUGUUCACCACCCCCUUGCUCAGAACCCCACCCCACCCCACGGCUCAGUGAAAGCAAAAGCACCUACAUGGCCCACAAGGACUGAAACACACUCCAGCCCUCCUUCUCUUUCUGCACUCUAUGUUUUAUAUACAGCAAGACACCACGUGACAUAUUUUACUCAUCUAUCUUGCGUAUUAUUAUCCAUCUCCUCCACGUGAACAGCUCCCUGCGGGCAGGGGCUGAGUCUGUUUGGUCACUGCUCUCUUCCCAGCAUCCACCACUGUGCCUGGCGCACAGUAGGUGUUCAAUUUGUUGAAUAAAUGGAUGGAUGAUCCAUACAACA
Pipistrellus kuhlii (Kuhl's pipistrelle) is the source of this 887-nucleotide long non-coding RNA. RefSeq lists it as uncharacterized. NCBI's taxonomy places the organism in Eukaryota, Metazoa, Chordata, Mammalia, Chiroptera, Vespertilionidae. The record is from RefSeq and is a predicted model, not a curated record. The transcript has 2 exons.